GGAUGCGAUCAUACCAGCACUAAAGCACCGGAUCCCAUCAGAACUCCGAAGUUAAGCGUGCUUGGGCGAGAGUAGUACUAGGAUGGGUCACCUCCUGGGAAGUCCUCGUGUUGCAUUCC
This 119-nucleotide ribosomal RNA is filed under the name Setaria viridis. The record is from RNAcentral. RNAcentral also lists the same sequence under 4 other names. Lineage: Eukaryota; Viridiplantae; Streptophyta; Magnoliopsida; Poales; Poaceae.